UCAAACUUGGUCAUUUAGAGGAAGUAAAAGUCGUAACAAGGUCUCCGUUGGUGAACCAGCGGAGGGAUCAUUACCGAGUUAUUACUCCAAACCCUUUGUGAACCUUACCAUUGUUCUGUUGCCUCGGCGGCGUCCGGCCCCUAAAGCCUUCGCCGCCGGCAGCAUCAAACUCUUGAAUUUUAUAGCGGAUUACACUUCUGAAUAAAAACACAAAACAAAUAAAAACUUUCAACAACGGAUCUCUUGGUUCUGGCAUCGAUGAAGAACGCAGC
This 272-nucleotide unclassified non-coding RNA is filed under the name uncultured fungus. Its description in RNAcentral is "partial contains small subunit ribosomal RNA, internal transcribed spacer 1, and 5.8S ribosomal RNA". The stretch from base 1 to 73 matches the Rfam family "Eukaryotic small subunit ribosomal RNA", at positions 1759 to 1831 of the family's 1831-position model. Lineage: Eukaryota; Fungi. The record is from RNAcentral.